Molecule: long non-coding RNA, 362 nt
Organism: Haliotis rubra (blacklip abalone)
Lineage: Eukaryota; Metazoa; Mollusca; Gastropoda; Lepetellida; Haliotidae
Exons: 2
Source: RefSeq, a predicted model, not a curated record
AGAUAGAACAGACAAAAUACCUAUGAAUUCCAUCAAAACUAUAGUUUGUGAACCUUUAGAUGGUCAUGAAGAAUAUCACAUGAUGGGUAUCCAGUUAGGACCUACAGAGGCAUCCCGGUAUUGGGUGUAUUGGGUGCCAGCACAGUUUGUGGAAGCCAUCAAAGAUGCAGUGUUGGGGAAGUGGCAGUACUUUUAGCAUAGAAGAUAAGGCAUGUCUCACCACAAACUUGCAUCAGAUGUGCUUGGUCAUCAUGCAUAGCAUGGUGUGUGUUACUUGAACACUAUCAACUAUUUCUGGCAAUCUGUGUUAUCUGAAUUUUUGAUGAAGGAUAUGUUUCUGCUAAUAAAAGCCUAUGUAUACA